Molecule: non-coding RNA, 876 nt
Organism: Gasterosteus aculeatus aculeatus (three-spined stickleback)
Lineage: Eukaryota; Metazoa; Chordata; Actinopteri; Perciformes; Gasterosteidae
Source: RefSeq, a predicted model, not a curated record
GUGGAUGUCCGUAGUUUCUUGCCUGUGUGUUUUUGCCCCUUGGCCCUUUGAUUUUCCCUUUUCGACUAUUGAAGUAUUUUGUUUCCGGAGAAGUCUGCGUUUGAGUCCUGCCUCCCCCACGCAUCCCUGACAGAUGGAUGGAUGAAUAUCACUUACAUCUGCCAGAGGCAAUGUUUACGUUGGAUUUACUCUCCAAAGAAAGUGUCAUCUAACUGCAUGCAUUUUAGUUUCCAUAAAGGUGACACUUUUUCAGACAUCCAGCAUCUCGAGCGUUACUACGACCAGAGAUGCUGUCAUUCAGGGUCUACCUUGUAGAGACGAUGGAUCAACUCAUAAAAGAGUGUGAUGAUGCUGGUGAAGACGCUGUUUCACAGGACCUUGCAAUACAAAAGAUGACAAUCUACAGGAACAAGUCGAACACGUCGAAGAGUCCAGACGUCGGUAUCGUGUUGGACGGAGUAAAAGUUCUGACUGCACCAAGGGACUUUCCAAGGGCUUGCUGUCUGCUGGUUAUGUUUGCGUAUGCAGUGAAUCUUGCACAUUCAAAGAAACUUAAACACAUUUAAGGUGUUCCAAGUUUUCUUGGAGCUGGACUGUUCAAACCGUUGACCCUUGGAGAAAAAAAGGGAAUUGUUGUUACUGUUAGAACUCUCCAAUGUGGUUACUGUUUGUUCAAUGCAUGUUAAUUAAAUUUUAAAGAUUCACAUUGAGAAGUUUAGGUUUGGCUCUUUCCUGGAGUUCACUUUUAGUGUUGCAAUCUAGUGUUAAUGCUGCUUUAUUUGUGUUGUUCAAAUGUAUAUAAACCAUGCUCAUUUAAUGCAGCUUUUCCUGUAUGUAUUUAUAGAAAUUUGCACAAAUAAAGUUUAACCUGCUGUA